GGUGAGGUGGCCGAGAGGCUGAAGGCGGCGGUUUGCUAAACCGUUAUACGGGCUAACACCUGUAUCCAGGGUUCGAAUCCCUGCCUCACCGCCA
This 94-nucleotide transfer RNA is filed under the name Acidobacteria bacterium RIFCSPLOWO2_02_FULL_65_29. RNAcentral's name for it is "tRNA-Ser". It matches the Rfam family "tRNA". From Rfam's summary of the family: Transfer RNA (tRNA) molecules are approximately 80 nucleotides in length. Their secondary structure includes four short double-helical elements and three loops (D, anti-codon, and T loops). Lineage: Bacteria; Pseudomonadati; Acidobacteriota. The record is from RNAcentral.